Molecule: ribosomal RNA, 354 nt
Filed under: uncultured Pseudomonas sp.
Lineage: Bacteria; Pseudomonadati; Pseudomonadota; Gammaproteobacteria; Pseudomonadales; Pseudomonadaceae
Description: bacterial SSU rRNA
Rfam family: Bacterial small subunit ribosomal RNA
Source: RNAcentral
CUGACACAGGUGCUGCAUGGCUGUCGUCAGCUCGUGUCGUGAGAUGUUGGGUUAAGUCCGUAACGAGCGCAACCCUUGUCCUUAGUUACCAGCACGUUAUGGUGGGCACUCUAAGGAGACUGCCGGUGACAAACCGGAGGAAGGUGGGGGAUGACGUCAAGUCAUCAUGGCCCUUACGGCCUGGGCUACACACGUGCUACAAUGGUCGGUACAAAGGGUUGCCAAGCCGCGAGGUGGAGCUAAUCCCAUAAAACCGAUCGUAGUCCGGAUCGCAGUCUGCAACUCGACUGCGUGAAGUCGGAAUCGCUAGUAAUCGUGAAUCAGAAUGUCACGGUGAAUACGUUCCCGGGCCUU